UAGUGUCAACAGAACCUGCGUGGAGUGUGAGGGCUAGUGAAUGUAUGUUUUUGAGGCAGCACUUAAAGUUAAUCUUUAAGAUGUUAAAGCCAGAAGCUGCUUCAGUUAGUCAGCAUACAUUCUCUAAGAGGAUUAAUAUGCCGGCAAGAGGUAUGAGACUGCACAGAAAAUAGAACAGCUAAUCCUGGAGAUGAACCUGAUAAAGAGAACCCACAGUCAGUACUUACAGCACUGAGGAGCCCUGUCCAGGUGGAGGGCGAGCAUCCAGGGGAAAGCGAGAACACAGUCCCCCACUACUACGAAUUAUGUAGUCGAGUUUCCCACAUUUGGGGAAAUCUCAGGGGUCAGCACAUCCGGAGUGCAAUGGAUAAGCCUUGCCCUGGGAAAACCAACUUCCUGAUCAUGGUAUCUCCCCUGCCAGAACUAUGCGUCAGUAACUCAGUCAUGGCACAGCAAGGACAGCCAGCUUGCCUGUUCUCUACCAUGCCUAUCAAUCAAAGCCAUCCAUCCCCGUGUCCCAGGGAUAUAGUAGUUGGCUUAGGAAUGGGCCUGGGAAUCAACUCAGGCCAAACAAAAGUGAGGGGGAGGAAGUUUAUUGGGGGUGUCUAGAAAAGGGGUGAGCUGUGAAUGAGAAAUUGUGGAACCUCAGGUGCACUGGCAGCCUCCCUGGCUCUAAGUAGAGUCCACUGAGGAGGAAGCUGACCCUGUGGGCCUCAACAUAGCGGAGCAGAGGAAACAUGGGCAUCCGAGGUCAUCACAGACCAUCCCACCGUGGACUUCACAUUCUGAGAGUCAGUAAACACCCUUACUGUUGCGUUUUUGUUUUGUUUUGUUUUUGAGACAGGGUCUUGCUAUUUUGCUCAGGCUGCUCUUGAACUCCUAAGAUCAAGCUAUCUUCCCACCUCAGGCCCCCAAGUAACUGAGACUACCAACACAUGCCCUGACACCUGACUCCUGGAUUGUUUUUUUUACUUGCAGCUUAAAGCAUCGUGACUAAUAUGAUUGAUUGGUCACUAUGACAACAUGUGGUAACCACCCUAUGAAUAGGAGCAGUAUCAUGGAGUGGCCUUUCUGCACAGAAGCAUCUGUUCCUUUUGCCAUCACAGCACCGGGUAUACCAAUAUUCAUGAAUAAGGCAGGGCUGCUUGAUUAUUUAACCUACUCUUUUCUAGGGAGGAAGUGUCCCCAGCGAGGAAAGGUAUAUCAGGAAGCCACAAACUCUGAGUGGGGGCUGGAAAAAGGUGCCAAUCCUCCACUAUGGACCAUUCACCCUGCCCCUUAGUUCCCACCAGAAACUCUGGCUUAAAACAGCAUGGGUGAUCCACUUGCCAUCCCAUUCUGCUCUAUUUGUGGUGUUUUCUUAAAAAAAUCUCUACUUCCACACAGUAAUCUUGCUUUCCAGAGCAUUUUAGGGAACAGAGUCAUCCUCAUUCACUCCUAGCAUCUUAAUCAGUUGCCUAAGGUCUUAGGCAGAAUUCUCCAACACUUAAUGCCAUCACAGCCCUAAAGGAGACACUCCUUAGAGACCCCCCACAACCUCAGAGUCAGAGUUGCCACUGAAUUCUCAAGUUAGGGUUUUUCGGGAAUAUGUCAUGAAGCAUAAUUAUUCUUCCAGAAAGGCUAUUGAGAAAUUCUAUCCUAGUAAAGAGGAC
Molecule: long non-coding RNA, 1652 nt
Organism: Callithrix jacchus (white-tufted-ear marmoset)
Lineage: Eukaryota; Metazoa; Chordata; Mammalia; Primates; Cebidae
Source: RefSeq, a predicted model, not a curated record